This 424-nucleotide ribosomal RNA is filed under the name uncultured bacterium. Its description in RNAcentral is "bacterial SSU rRNA". It matches the Rfam family "Bacterial small subunit ribosomal RNA", at positions 355 to 776 of the family's 1533-position model. The record is from RNAcentral.
UGAGGAAUAUUGGUCAAUGGCCGGAAGGCUGAACCAGCCAAGCCGCGUGGAGGAAGAAGGUGCUACGCAUUGUAAACUCCUUUUGUCAGGGAAUAAAAGACGUGUCGCGCACACGUUCUGCAGGUACCUGAAGAAAAAGCAUCGGCUAACUCCGUGCCAGCAGCCGCGGUAAUACGGAGGAUGCGAGCGUUAUCCGGAUUCAUUGGGUUUAAAGGGUGCGUAGGCGGCGUGUUAAGUCAGCGGUAAAAGCCCGGGGCUCAACCCCGGCGAGCCGUUGAUACUGGCAUGCUUGAGUUGGAGAGAGGUAUGCGGAAUGCGCAGUGUAGCGGUGAAAUGCUUAGAUAUUGCGCAGAACUCCGAUUGCGAAGGCAGCAUACUGGCUCCACACUGACGCUGAGGCACGAAAGCGUGGGUAUCGAACAGG